UACAGAGGUCCCGAGCGUUGUUCGGAUUCACUGGGCGUAAAGGGUGCGUAGGUGGUGAGGUAAGUCGGAUGUGAAAUCUCCGAGCUCAACUCGGAAAAGGCAUUGGAAACUACCUUGCUUGAGGAUUGGAGGGGGGACUGGAAUACUUGGUGUAGCAGUGAAAUGCGUAGAUAUCAAGUGGAACACCAGUGGCGAAGGCGAGUCCCUGGACAAAUCCUGACACUGAGGCACGAAAGCUAGGGGAGCAAACAGG
Molecule: ribosomal RNA, 253 nt
Filed under: uncultured bacterium
Lineage: Bacteria
Description: partial 16S ribosomal RNA
Rfam family: Bacterial small subunit ribosomal RNA
Source: RNAcentral